AUGAGGAGGGUCGGCGCUUGGCGCAUACCCGCGCCCCCGACCGUGGCAGCGUCCUCGCGGGGCCAGGCUUCCCGUCCGCGCCGCGACGCCGCCGGCAAGGAGGCCUGGGCUCGGACAGCCUCCGCGGCGUCGAGUGCGCCGGUGAGGUGUCUGGGAACCGCGUGGCGGGGAACUGGCGCUGCUUCUGGUUGUGGGUUCCGGCGACGCCAAGCCGUACAUCUGAGCCGCCGCCUCCAAUUUGUUUCCUCCAUGUUUCAGCUCCAGGUGUCACGUGUGUCCUUCAUCGGCUAUCCCUCCUUACGGUUGUUGCCGCGUCCGCCUGCUGCGGGUCCUCCGUGUUCGUGA
RNAcentral lists this ribosomal RNA (345 nucleotides) under Triticum aestivum (bread wheat). RNAcentral describes it as "partial small subunit ribosomal RNA". Lineage: Eukaryota; Viridiplantae; Streptophyta; Magnoliopsida; Poales; Poaceae. The record is from RNAcentral.